Molecule: long non-coding RNA, 531 nt
Filed under: Neodiprion lecontei (redheaded pine sawfly)
Lineage: Eukaryota; Metazoa; Arthropoda; Insecta; Hymenoptera; Diprionidae
Description: uncharacterized LOC124293360
Source: RNAcentral
AAACACCUGUGCAUCUGGGUCUCGUGUGUACAUUAGGGAGAAUGAAUUCCCCGAUGGCAAGCAAACGUCCACUCGACCUUAGACUACUGCCACGUUAAAAAGACAAUCCAAGUGUAUUUGAGAAGAAGUCGCAGAAAUUGUUAUCUGAUUUCAAUAUCAUAAUUACUGUACAACAUCCGCAUUCUAUUCGACACUUUAUACUGAUUUGUUCUCUUCGACAGAGUUACGAUACGCAGCUCGUACGGAUCUAACCGAGUUAAAUUGUUUGACAUUGGAAAUGUUUGAUAUGGAAAUACGUCGAAGAAUGUUAAAUCCCCUUUUGCCGUAGGGGUUCGUCAUGCACCAAGGAUAUAAUAUCUGUACGAAUUUGAUAACGUGGCGAAUAUGGUGAGAAGAAUUUCUACAGCAAAUAAACGCCCACUAACAACCGUGUGUCGUAUGCAUGAUACAAUCAGCGGGCCUACACGUUAUAUAUUAUUAACCAUGUCUGUUCGUGUGUUAUUAUACAAGCAAUAUAUGUAUAUAUAGUUA